Molecule: ribosomal RNA, 379 nt
Filed under: uncultured cyanobacterium
Lineage: Bacteria; Bacillati; Cyanobacteriota
Description: bacterial SSU rRNA
Rfam family: Bacterial small subunit ribosomal RNA
Source: RNAcentral
CGAAAGCCUGACGGAGCAAGACCGCGUGAGGGAGGAAGGCUCUUGGGUUGUAAACCUCUUUUCUCAAGGAAGAAGUUCUGACGGUACUUGAGGAAUAAGCAUCGGCUAACUCUGUGCCAGCAGUCGCGGUAAUACAGAGGAUGCAAGCGUUAUCCGGAAUCACUGGGCAUAAAGCGUCUGUAGGUUGUUUAGUAAGUCUGUUGUUAAAGACUAGGGCUUAACCCUAGGCCAGCAGUGGAAACUGCUAGACUUGAGUGUGGUAGAGGUAAAGGGAAUUCCUAGUGUAGCGGUGAAAUGCGUAGAUAUUAGGAAGAACACCAAUGGCGAAAGCACUUUACUGGGCCAUAACUGACACUGAGAGACGACAGCUAGGGGAGCA